Molecule: ribosomal RNA, 1227 nt
Filed under: Triticum aestivum (bread wheat)
Lineage: Eukaryota; Viridiplantae; Streptophyta; Magnoliopsida; Poales; Poaceae
Description: partial small subunit ribosomal RNA
Source: RNAcentral
AUGGAGAUUGCCUACCCCUACGGCGGGGAGCUCACCAGGAAGCACGGCUUCGUCACAGCCGAGCCGUUUGACGCCAAGACCGGCAUCAUGUCCGGCCCCAAGCGCGCGAGGGAGAUGGAGAUCCUUCGGCAGCGCUUUCAAGCAGAGCUCGUCGCCGUCCGUGGCCUCCUCCACAAGGCGGCCGCCGUGCUAGCUCCCGCCUCGUCCCCGUCGGCUCCCCGCGUCAAGAAGAGUCGUCCAAGGUUCUUGGCCGAGGAGCCGCCGGCCAAGAAGAGGAAGGCGUCUCCUCCCGUUCCUGUGAUCAAUCGCAAGAAGGCGCCUACGAAGACGAAGAUGACGGCCUCUGAGAGGGAGAUGCUCGCGGAAGACCUGGAGCUGUUCGUUGCGGAAAUCCCCGAUCACGUCGUCCAGCUCUUGAAGAAGCACAGCUGCGCCACCCGCCCCGGCGAAAUCGAGAUCGACCUCCACGCAAUGGACGACGCCGCCGUCGUCGAGUUACAGGAGCAGGUUGACAAGUUCGCUCGACAGAGGAGGUCGAAUCCGUCGCCGCAAGAACGGGACCAAGACGGCCCUAAGGUGAUGGCCCAAGAGGAGGAGGAGGAGGACGAAGAAGUUGACAUCUGUGGCGGCGUCUCCCCCUUAGCGAUCGUGCCGCAACCUCUGCCGCAAGAACGGCACCAAGACGGCCCUAAGGCCAUGGCCCAAGAGGAGGAGGAAGAUGUUGACAUCUGCGGUGGCGUAUCCCCAUUACCGAUCGUCGAAGAUGAAACAGCCAGUGCCAGCCCAAGCUCCAGCGGCAGCAGUUCGGAUACUGAUUCCAGCGACAGCGAUUCAGAUACUGAUCCUGGCAGCAGCGACUUGGGUUCAGAGCACUCCGGCGGCAGUGACUCAGAUUCUGAUUCAGAUGAGAUCGUCGACAGCCUAGCUCCUCCAACAUGCGAGCAGCUCGCCCGUGCUCUGGAAAGGCAGCGAAAGGAGGCCACGUCCCGGGCGAGGGAGAAGGCCCGUCAGGAGGUGCUCCAGAUGGAGAAGACGGCAAUGCCGGACGAUACCCUACACCCAGAGGAUCUGAAGAGGCUCGGCAUUGAUGAGUACAACACUGCGAAGCCCAACAACUUGUUGCGGCAGAUUGGACUCUACCUCAAGCUUGACGACGACCGGAAGCAUCAUCAUCAUCAUCAUCAAAUCUUCGAAGAAGACCUAGAGGAAGGGGAGAUUCUAUCGUGA